AGCGCAGGUGGUUGUAUAAGUCUGAAGUAAAAGGCAGUGGCUCAACCAUUGUGUGCUUUGGAAACUGUACAACUUGAGUGCAGAGGGGGAGAGUGGAAUUCCAUGUGUAGCGGUGAAAUGCGUAGAUAUAUGGAGGAACACCGGUGGCGAAAGCGGCUCUCUGGUCUGUAACUGACACUGAGGCUCGAAAGCGUGGGAGCAAACA
This 205-nucleotide ribosomal RNA is filed under the name uncultured bacterium. RNAcentral's name for it is "partial 16S ribosomal RNA". It matches the Rfam family "Bacterial small subunit ribosomal RNA", at positions 568 to 774 of the family's 1533-position model. The record is from RNAcentral.